Molecule: ribosomal RNA, 538 nt
Filed under: uncultured bacterium
Lineage: Bacteria
Description: bacterial SSU rRNA
Rfam family: Bacterial small subunit ribosomal RNA
Source: RNAcentral
AAUAGAUACCCGGGUACGUCCACGCCGUAAACGAUGAGUGCUAAGUGUUAGAGGGUUUCCGCCCCUUUAGUGCUGCAGCAAACGCAUUAAGCACUCCGCCUGGGGGAGUACGGCCGCAAGGCUGAAACUCAAAAGGGAUUGACGGGGGACCCCGCACAAGCGGUGGAGCAUGUGGUUUAAUUCGAAGCAACGCGAAAAACCUUACCAGGUCUUGACAUCCUCUGACAAUCCUAGAGAUAGGACGUUCCCCCUUCGGGGGGACAGAGUGACAGGUGGUGCAUGGUUGUCGUCAGCUCGUGUCGUGAGAUGUUGGGUUAAGUCCCGCAACGAGCGCAACCCUUGAUCUUAGUUGCCAGCAUUCAGUUGGGCACUCUAAGGUGACUGCCGGUGACAAACCGGAGGAAGGUGGGGAUGACGUCAAAUCAUCAUGCCCCUUAUGACCUGGGCUACACACGUGCUACAAUGGAUGGUACAAAGGGCUGCAAAACUGUGAAGUCGAGCGAAUCCCAUAAAACCGAUUCUCAGUUCGGAUUGCAGG